Long non-coding RNA from Pantherophis guttatus, 369 nucleotides. RefSeq lists it as uncharacterized. The record is from RefSeq and is a predicted model, not a curated record. Lineage: Eukaryota; Metazoa; Chordata; Lepidosauria; Squamata; Colubridae.
AAGAUAGUAUUAGAACAGAUUAAAUCAUGACGAUAAAUGGAGCCUCAAAAUCAAACCAACGUGCUGCCAGUUCAACUGGGUUCCAAUUUAGAUCUUUGAAAAAGCACAUCAGAAAUUUUGUUCUUUCACGGAGUCAAGAUACUUUAAAGAGACAUCUUCGAAAAAAGCAAAACACGAUACCAUCCUUUUGAUUCAAAAUGAUCUCCUACAAUGCUAUCAAGGAUGGAAGACAGUGGUAUCGGGAACAGCUGGCAACUAAUGGGUUCACUGCAAGACCUGCAGCUGAUGGAAUGCAAAGAACAUAUUCCACCCCUGGGCAAUGGUCUAUCACUAUUAACAUUAAAGCAAUGCAUUAAUUGAUUGGUACAA